Dalotia coriaria is the source of this 1100-nucleotide long non-coding RNA. RefSeq lists it as uncharacterized. The record is from RefSeq and is a predicted model, not a curated record. The transcript has 5 exons. NCBI's taxonomy places the organism in Eukaryota, Metazoa, Arthropoda, Insecta, Coleoptera, Staphylinidae.
CCCUUUGACAAUCACAGCAUCAGCCGGCGUGCGGGUCGUGCAGACGCUCCGCGAGUUUUAUUGAAAAAAAACCAGUGUGAAAUCACCGUGCGACAGUCCCAAACGCUGCGAAUCGAUUUAUCCAGACUAGCUUUAACCCGCGGCUUCGCUCGCGAAUAUUUAAAAUAAUGAAAUUGCUUCCGUACGCGUCUGUAGUCACAGAAGAAGUAACAAUGAAGUAGAAUGGCGGGAAGUUUAAAAUGGCUGAAAGUAUAGUCUAUGGAAGUAUAGUGUACAGUCUCCAUAGUGUAGUCAAUUGGAUUUGAUGUUGACGUAGCUGUCGGUAAUACAGUGUGAUAAUACAGUGUGAUGGUACUAUAAUACUUAGGUUUGAGCUUCAUUGCUGGAAUGCUAGAUGGCGUUAAAGUUGUCAAAUAGCCAGAUGCAGAGGAAUUAUUGGCUAAACAAUUUCUUUAUUUUAUUUAAAAUAUAUAUUUUUUUAUUAAAUAAAAAGUAGCCUAUAACCAUUCGGGGACCACUAAGAAUAUGUGUACAAAUUUUCAUGAUGAUCGGUUAAGUAGUUUUUGCGUGAAAGUGUAACAAACAUCAGGACUUUCGCAUUUAUAAUAUUAGUAGGGAUACUUGAGACGAGAAAAUUCACAUUUUAAGAUGCGAAGACAUGGUACAUAAAAAUUGGCGGGGAAAAACAGUUACAGCACUCGUUGUGCCUGGCAGUCCGAUAAGCUGUACAUUGUUAUGGUUUGGCAUUCAAUCGACGCACUUCUGUGAUGGAUCCACUCUCGAUGUAUGUGAAUAAUCCUUUAUGAUUUGAGACAGCUUCCUGAAUUCUGAAAUAAUGACCUGGAUGGCGGAGGGUGCUUUCAAACCUGUCUACGAAGAUGUCCAGUUGAACAUGAAAUGGAUGAAGACGAACCACAUCUCUGUGAAAAAAUGGCUAAUGGUCCACUCCAGAGUGGAAAACAAAUUUUCAUUAGUUGUUGCUUAUUUAGAUUUGUAAAAUGUAGGCAUUGUUUCUUACGUAUAAGGAUAAUUAAUUGUUAUUACUUGAAAUGAUGAUUUAUUUGUUCGGGUGUUAAUAUAUUUUAUAUUAUGAAUGAGAA